GUCUCAGCCUGGUUCUUCCUUUUUCCUCCUCCUCUGAGGUAGCAACUGCCUCAUCUUUUCCAUCUAUAGAGUGUGGAAUAUGUGCCCUACUUCAUUCAGGAAUGUUGGACAAACCAGCUAUUUAGAGAGCGAAGGAGAGGAACUUCCGAGAGCAACGGCCCGCAAGAGAAACCCAGGGACUCCUGCCCUUUGGCAGCUUUGUCCUUGUGCUGCUCACACCGAAAGCACUCGGGGGUGACCUGCAUCAAAAAUGCAUUGCAGUAGUCUGGGCACGGUGGCUCAUGCCUGUAAUCCCAGCUCUUUGGGAGGCCGAGGCACUGUGCUAAGUUUGACUUACAGAGACGAAUAUUUGGCCACAUCUUCAAGGAGCUCAGACCUUCAUGGACAUACCAAAUAUAUACAGAACUAACUCUACUGCUUAUCACAAUGAGAGCUGUGCCGUGGAUAUUUGAAAGUUAGAGAGAUUUAUUUUCAACAGAAUAAUAAAGUCAACUUUCACAAA
This 502-nucleotide long non-coding RNA is filed under the name Pongo abelii (Sumatran orangutan). Its description in RNAcentral is "lincRNA". Lineage: Eukaryota; Metazoa; Chordata; Mammalia; Primates; Hominidae. The record is from RNAcentral.